This 1700-nucleotide unclassified non-coding RNA is filed under the name Cyanidioschyzon merolae strain 10D. RNAcentral's name for it is "hypothetical transcript". Lineage: Eukaryota; Rhodophyta; Bangiophyceae; Cyanidiales; Cyanidiaceae. The record is from RNAcentral.
GUUGCACAGCAUUUUGCCGAAGCGAGUCCGGAGACGCAGGCUCUUGAUGGUGGCCUGUUUUGCGAACGAGGCUUUUCCUGGUAUCAGGAGGCUCGGUCACUAGUCAUUGCGCGGUUUGUAUGGUCAGUGGCUGCCCAGUUGAGUGGAAACGGACGCGGUCGGGUGGACACGCCCACAGACACCUCGAGGCCAGCGUGCACCUGAAGCACGCAGCACUGUGCAUGCGUGCACCUGGACAGGUUCGUUGGGCUCUGAACAAAAAUAUCACCUAGGUUGUCUCGCUGGUGCGAAUGCGGGAAUGAUGCGGGGCACCGAACCUCGCUAUAAGCUCUCCGCGCGAGGCUUGUAUCCGCACAGCUGAUGUGGCAAACAACGACGGAGGCGACGCCUACUCACUGUGUGCUGGUGUUCAUAUUGCGAACAAGCACGUGUGCCAUGAAAUGGAGUAGACCCAUGACCUUCCCAUGUGCUGGCCCAUUUUCCUACUCGUUGCGACCUGCGAACGAACUUUUUAGGUAGUUCAGAACAAGUUUAGCGUUUCUUCUAUGCUGAAUGUCAUGUGAGCGCAGCCGCCCGUUCACUGCACCACCGCCAUGAUCCACCGGGCGGACGCGGAUGUGCUUCAGCCUUGCAUGCCUGGUAGCAGCCCGUUCGCGGUCAUCGGCAGGAAACUCGCCCCGGAAUAUCCGUUGCAGACUGUGUAUGUUCUGCAAAUCGCGCGAGCGCGAAACCUACUUGUAUGCACGGAAUGAAGCAUUCCGCAGUCGAGCGUGACCCCGGCGCGAGGCCCUCAAAGUUUGGACAUAAACUCGCCGAUACGCACGGCGCGGCGCUCCUUCAUGCUCUUUCUCGCUGCGUAAGCGAGCACCACCGGCAUACGCCCAUCCUCCCCGGUCACCGGCACCGCCUUUCCUUCCAUAAUGCAACGCACAAAAGUCUCCAUUUCUAAAGCGUAGGCAUCGCGAUAGCGGUCCAUGAAAAAGUUCAGUGGCAGGUCGCGACGUACACUCGCACCAUCCUGCAACGUCGCAUUGUUCGGAAAGUUAUUCGCAGUGGACACAUUUCCCUUCGAUCCGUGAAUUUCAAUACGCUGGUCGUAACCAUAAGCGGCUUUUCGACAGCAUUCGAUCGUACCGAUGGCGCCGUUCGCGAACCGCAGGGUCACAAUCGCGGUGUCGAUAUCGCCCGCUUGCUCACCGAUCUGGGGAUCCACCAGGUUGGCUCCAGCAGCAGCAACGACUUCCACGAUUUCUGAGCCCAUCGUAAACCGGGCCAUGUCGAAAUCAUGCGUCAUCAUGUCAAAGAAUAGGCCCCCAGACUGCUUCAAGUAGGCAAGCGGAGGUGGCGCAGGGUCACGUGAGAUGAUGUGCAGUGAGUAGGGCUCGCCGAUUUCCCCGCUGGCGACAGCUUCCCUUACCCGGCGGAAGUUCGCAUCAAAACGCCGCUGAAACCCUAUUUGCAUCUGGACACCGGCGCGCUUCACUUCCGAAAGCGCGUUAUCGAUGCGCUCGAGGUCGUAGUCGAUCGGUUUCUCGCAAAAAAUCUGUUUGCCUGCCCGCGCUGCUGCCACGAUGAUUUCGUAGUGCGUGUCUGAGGGCGAACAAAUGAUAACAGCGUCCACCUCAGGUGACUGGACAACCUCCUGCCAGUCUUUGACUGCACGCGGGAUGCGAAACUCUUUCGCCGCCGCCUGGGCAGCC